Molecule: ribosomal RNA, 861 nt
Filed under: uncultured bacterium
Lineage: Bacteria
Description: bacterial SSU rRNA
Rfam family: Bacterial small subunit ribosomal RNA
Source: RNAcentral
GAGUGCGGUAGGGGAGAUUGGAAUUCCUGGUGUAGCGGUGGAAUGCGCAGAUAUCAGGAGGAACACCGAUGGCGAAGGCAGAUCUCUGGGCCGUAACUGACGCUGAGGAGCGAAAGCGUGGGGAGCGAACAGGAUUAGAUACCCUGGUAGUCCACGCCGUAAACGGUGGGAACUAGAUGUGGGGUCCGUUCCACGGAUUCCGUGUCGCAGCUAACGCAUUAAGUUCCCCGCCUGGGGAGUACGGCCGCAAGGCUAAAACUCAAAGGAAUUGACGGGGGCCCGCACAAGCGGCGGAGCAUGCGGAUUAAUUCGAUGCAACGCGAAGAGCCUUACCAAGGCUUGACAUAUAGAGGAAAAGUGCAGAGAUGCACUCCCCGCAAGGUCUCUAUACAGGUGGUGCAUGGUUGUCGUCAGCUCGUGUCGUGAGAUGUUGGGUUAAGUCCCGCAACGAGCGCAACCCUCGUCCUAUGUUGCCAGCACGUAAAGGUGGGAACUCAUGGGAGACUGCCGGGGUCAACUCGGAGGAAGGUGGGGAUGACGUCAAAUCAUCAUGCCCCUUAUGUCUUGGGCUUCACGCAUGCUACAAUGGCCGGUACAGAGGGCUGCAAUACCGCAAGGUGGAGCGAAUCCCAGAAAGCCGGUCUCAGUUCGGAUUGAGGUCUGCAACUCGACCUCAUGAAGUCGGAGUCGCUAGUAAUCGCGAAUCAGCAACGUCGCGGUGAAUACGUUCCCGGGCCUUGUACACACCGCCCGUCAAGUCAUGAAAGUCGGUAACACCCGAAGCCGGUGGCCCAACCUUUUGGAGGGAGCCGUCGAAGGUGGGAUCGGUGAUUAGGACUAAGUCGUAACAAGGUAACCGUA